CCUACGGGCGGCAGCAGUGGGGAAUAUUGGACAAUGGGCGAAAGCCUGAUCCAGCCAUGCCGCGUGUGUGAAGAAGGCCUUCGGGUUGUAAAGCACUUUCAGUGGGGAAGAAAGCCUUGGGGCUAAUACCCUCGAGGAAGGACAUCACCCACAGAAGAAGCACCGGCUAACUCCGUUCCAGCAGCCGCGGUAAUACGGAGGGUGCGAGCGUUAAUCGGAAUUACUGGGCGUAAAGCGCGCGUAGGCGGUCUGAUAAGCCGGUUGUGAAAGCCCCGGGCUCAACCUGGGAACGGCAUCCGGAACUGUCAGGCUAGAGUGCAGGAGAGGAAGGUAGAAUUCCCGGUGUAGCGGUGAAAUGCGUAGAGAUCGGGAGGAAUACCAGUGGCGAAGGCGGCCUUCUGGACUGAAACUGACGCUGAGGUGCGAAAGCGUGGGUAGCAAACAGGAUUAGAUACCCCGGUAUC
RNAcentral lists this ribosomal RNA (464 nucleotides) under Vreelandella stevensii. RNAcentral's name for it is "partial 16S ribosomal RNA". It matches the Rfam family "Bacterial small subunit ribosomal RNA", at positions 338 to 794 of the family's 1533-position model. The record is from RNAcentral. Lineage: Bacteria; Pseudomonadati; Pseudomonadota; Gammaproteobacteria; Oceanospirillales; Halomonadaceae.